Sorex araneus (European shrew) is the source of this 6932-nucleotide long non-coding RNA. RefSeq lists it as uncharacterized. NCBI's taxonomy places the organism in Eukaryota, Metazoa, Chordata, Mammalia, Eulipotyphla, Soricidae. The transcript has 2 exons. The record is from RefSeq and is a predicted model, not a curated record.
GCCAGGGGUGAUUCCUGAGUGCAUGAGCCAGGAGUGACCCCUGUGCAUUGCUGGGAGUGACCCAGAAAGCAAAAAAAAAAUGCUGAAACUCUUGGGGCUUGAGUGCUAGCACAGUAGUUUGAGAGCAUGCAUUGCUUGCUGAAGGACUAGGUUUUUUCCCUGUUACCACAUGGUUCCCUCAGUGUCCGCCAAAAUAUAAUGCCCAGGGUUGUUAUCAUAUACUGAGUUUGCAUAAGAAAACUGACAAUUUAUACAAAGAAAGCUUUGUAUCAUUGAAUGUAAAACCAAAACAAACCAAAAUGGUAUUUUUAUUCUCAAUAGUCUUAAUUUUUGGGCCUAGAGAUUAACUGUAAAAUUUAAUUUUUCCCUGGAUUUUAUAAAAAUGAAAUAAGGAGUAGGUUCGGUCGAUGUUUCCAAAGUAGAGCAAUAGUUGGCAAAGAAAUCAGGACAUUUGAGCCAGAUGAUUGUUAAAGGAAUUCUGUGGUAAUUUGGUAAUCUCAAAGAAGUUUUUAUGCUACUAAGAUUUAAAAGGAAGAAAACAUUUGUGAUACUGAACAACUUUGCAAUUGUGCAUCUGAUGGUGAUUCACUUUUUUAAAAGGACUUUUCCCCAUGAGCCACAAAAUUCAAAAUAUCCUGAAAGUUUUGAGAGAUUGUUAACUAGCUAGAGUAUAUUAAUAAUUUGCUCUUAUCUUACCUGUGUAAGGAGUUAACGAUAAAACAUUGUUUUGUUUUUGUUAAGGAACAAGUUAGAAUUUUUUAGGAGGGUACCUAGUAGGUUUAAAUUACUCUAGCAUCUGAAACCUGUGCCAUACAGUAACAUAAAAAUGUCAAUUAAGGGGCAGAGCUUGAUAGUACAGCAGGAAGGACAUUUGCCUGGCAUCCCUGGGGAAGGAGUUAUUCCUCAGCACCACCAGGUAUGUCCCUAAGACCAAAAAAUCAAUAAAUAUGUCAAAUAAGAAAUGUAUUAAGGAUGAAGGAGAUGGUAUGCCUUGCACACAUUUAAUCCUCAUUACUUUUCUGGCUCAAUAUGUGGUCCUCAGCAUAGAGCUAGAUGUGACCCAAUAAAACAAAACGAAUCUAUUCUACAUUACUAUGUUCUAAAGAUACUUGGCAAAGGCCAGAGGUGUGAACAUGGGAAAAAUACCUAUUUUACACAUUUAAGUAGUCAACAGGAAAUUUUGUCAUCAGAAACUUUCUUUGUAUGAAUUGUCAGUUUUCUUAUGCAAUCUCAGUGUAUUAGAACAACCCUGAGCUCUUUAUAUUUGAUGCAUCAUUGAGAAUUUCCUGCAGUGUUGAUUGAAAUGUACGGUGCAUUUUUGGUUUUCUCAUGUUUCUAGGUUAUCUAGAUGAAAUGAUUGGGCAUUUUGUGGACAGAUAAAUGAGAGAAAAGCUACAUAUUGAAUGAGAUCAUUGAAAGGUGUAAUUUUGCCUGAGAUAAUUGUUGUAUUCACCUGAUCACUGCAGAGAAUCAAGAGCCAUCAUAAUGUGAAAGGCUAGGACAUAGGUAAAGAUUUGCUAUUGACAGUUUAUAAUUUUUUCUGAUGAGAGAAAUUCAACACCAAUAUCAAGUGGAGAUUGAAUUUCUUGACCUUAAUUACAUUACCUUGGCCUAGAAAAUAGAAAAACUUCCUGAAAAAUAAAAAAUCCUUCCCAUGCAGUAAGCAGCUAAUUAUAUUACUAAGUUCAGUGCAUUUCUGGUUUAGAGGGAUGAAAGAAGCGGUGUCCUGAUAAUUCAGACUUAAUAAAAAACCAUUGAAGUGAAUGAUGAUGAGUUUCACAUAUGCCAAACAUAGUUCUUUACUUGACUAAUAAGGAGCAGAAUGCUAGGGAAUACUGUUUGGAAAGAGCUUUAUAUAUAGAAGUGAACAUUUUGCCACUAGAACCAUGCAUGUUGAGGAAAAACUGGAGGCAUACCUUAUUUGAAUGACUGAUUUCUAAGAAAUAAUAUAGUAGGGUUGAUUUUUGGAUUCUUUGUUACUCUAUUUUAUUGAAAUAAAGCAUAUUAAGGGGCAGGGCCAAAACCAUUUUGUUUGUAGUUGUAAGUUUCAAGUUAGUAAUUGCCCAGUUUGUAAAAGUAGGACCUGUUCUUACAGCCUUUGUUAAAGCAUAGGCUCUUGCUUCACUGUUUAUAUUAAAAAUUAUAAAAUUCUGGAGAAUAGUGUCCUAAUGAGAUGAAUCCCAAAGAACAGAUUUUGUCAAAAUUUUGUGGAAAAUACAAUCCUGAAUUUGUGGAAAAUAUAAUCCUGAAUGUCUGACAAGAAUUCACUUGUUUCGCCUGGAGAGAGAACUGUGGCUUGGGUGGUUCGCCUUGCAUAUGGCUGAUGAGAGUUUAAUUCCCAGGCACUGCAGAUGUUUUAAUGCUUUGCAGGUUGGUUUUUUUUUUUUUUUUUUUUUUUUUUGCUUUUUGGGUCACACCCGGCGAUGCACAGGGGUUACUCCUGGCUCUACACUCAGGAAUUACCCCUGGCGGUGCUCAGGGGACCAUAUGGGAUGCUGGGAAUCAACCCGGGUCGGCCGCGUGCAAGGCAAAUGCCCUACCCGCUGUGCUAUUGCUCCAGCCCCUGCUUUGCAGUUUUUAUUAAGAUUACAAAAGAGCCCUUAAAAAAACUGCAGCUGGUAGUUUUAAGAGGCAAGUUUGUUGUCUUAAGAUGUAUACCUCAUAUUCGGUUAAUAUUCCCCAUUCAACCCCCAUCACCACAUGUGGUAUCCCCCAUAGCACUGGUGGGGAGGCAUGCACAGAAUUAGGAAUAGUCUAUACAACACAGGGUAUGACCCAUAAAACAUGGUUGAGGGAGACAUAAACCUACCUUGAAUUUUCAGGGAGUGUGUUAAGCUUGACAUGAAUAGGUCUUAGGUCUACACUCUACUGCACUGUUUACUAAAAUUUUAUUUUUCUGAAACUUUCGUACUUCAUUGACCAGUAUUGGCAGCCUUUUUGGCAGGUUAAACUUUGGUUUGAGGCUAGCAUAAAUGAAGAAUUUAAUGGCUACAUGCAGCAUGUCUAAUGAUAGUUUAGUGUACUCUUUGAAAAUCUGUAUAGAUACUGCAUACUAAUGCAAACUUAACAAUUGAAUGUCCCAGAUUCUUCAUUUCUUGAGCCCUAUGGUCUUUCAAAUUACAGUAAAAGACUGAUACCAGCACCUCUCAAAUAGAAUAUCCUUUUAACAGUUUUAACAAUUUUCUCUGAUUACCUGAUUACAGAGAGGAAUAAGCCCUGAGCACUAAUAGGUGUGUCCCCACCCAAAUGUUGAAAUGCUGUUUUAGGGACUGGAGUGAUAGUACAGCAGGUAGGGCGUUUGCCUUGCACGAAGCCGACCCAGGUUCGGUUCUCAGCAUCCCAUAUGGUCCCCUGCUAGAAGUAAUUGCUGAGCGGAAAGCCAGGAGUAACCCCUGUGCAUUGCCAGAUGUGAUCCAAAAAAAAAAAAAAAUUGCUGUUUUAUGCAACAUGUUUGGGGUUCACUAUAUUAAAACCCAUUCUGAUUCAACAAACAUUGUCCAAGUGUUCCAUAACCAUCAUAACAAUCCAGUUACUCAGCUGUCUUGAAUCUUUCCUAUGUGACAAAUGGCGCUUGUUUGACUAAAGCAGGUUUGUUAAAGGAGUUAAUGUGAAAGGGGUUUGUCUAUUAUAUAAGCUACAAAAGUAUUUUCUGGUAUGAGUUAAUUACAUAAGUUACAGAAGGUGGUUCAGGAUUGGACCCUGAAGGGGAAAAAAGCUUAAAUUUAGUGAUUUAAGCAUCCAGUUCCAGUCUGGUCUAUGGUAGAAAAUUUAAUUCUUCCCAUUUUUAACAAUUAGGAAUUGUUAGGGCUGUUAAGUGUUGUUCUCACACACUGCCCAUUUCUGUCUUGAGAUUAUUGACUCUUAAAGAGAAGGCCUUCUGUAUAAGUAAACCAAACCAGAGGCUUACAGAAGGGACCCUUUGUUCUCCUCAAGAGCUGGAACCAGCACUAGGUUAUCUCCAAUAUUCCAACUUGGAAUUCUCAAUUGCUGCUUUGUUUUGAUUUUUGGCCACACCCUACAGUGCUCAGGACUUAGUCUUUGCUCUGUACUCAUGAAUUGUUCCUGGUAAUCUUGGGGGAACCAUAAGGGAUUCCAGGGGUUGAAUUCAGGUCAACCGUGUGCAAGGCAAGCAGCCUACCUGCUGUACUAUCUUUGGCCAUGCAAUGCUAGUUUUUUUUCCCCCUCAAGUCCUAUCUGCCCUUUUCCAAGAAUCUUACUCCCCUGGAUGCUGCUGGAGUUGGCAGUUUCUGUGGUCUGUUCGACUUUUUCUAGUUAAGAGCUAUUUGGGGAUUGGACGGAUAAUACAGCAGAUAGGGUCCUUUUCUUCACACAUUUGCUUUGGUGUCGUUUCUGAACCGCAAUGAGUGCAGUUUUAUAUUAACUGAAAUUUCAGGGGCUGAAGCAAGCCAACCUCUGUAGUACAGCAGGUAGGACCUUGCACAGCCCAAUCAGGUUCAAUCUCCAACAUCCCAUAUGUUUCCCCAGCACCACCAGGAAUAAUUCCUUAGUGCACAUCCACCAGUAACUCGGAGCAUUGCAGAUGUGGCCCAAAACAUUUGCCUCUUUGUACAGACCUUGUGUUUUGUCCAAGACUUGAUUCCAUUUUUUUCCACUAGAUGGCAACCUAGCCCACCCAUGUAACCCUCUUUUUUUUUUUUUUUUUUUCUUUUUGCGGCCUUACUGCUAUUAGUAUCCAUAUACCCAAAUUGGUGGUAUGUAACAUUUUGGUGAUGCCAUAUCCCUCUAAUGUUUGUAUUUAGCAGCUUUCAACAGGCAUUAGGCAUAAUUUGGCCAAAUGCCUUUUUCCUAAGAAUGUGUCUAGAUAAUGAAAACAAUUGUUGUGGUGUUGUGGUCAGAGAUAUAGAUGCUGUACCAUUUAUUUUAUUUUGUCAGUAUUAUUAAAGCUCCUGCCUCAGACAGUUAAGUCACUUAAUGAUAGAAAUCUAUUUUAAAUACAGCAAUCAAAGCUCUGCUAAAUUCCUGAUUUACCUACCCUUAGGAUAACAGAAUUUUACUUUGUGUAAAGAACCAGUGCUGGGCAUCGAACUCGCUGCCUUCUUAUACUAGGUAUAUACGCCACAAUUUGCGCUUUCUUCCCAACACCCUCACCUGAAACUCACUGUUUUUCUCUUAUCCACAUGCAGAGUCCACUUUCUUUAUUCCAACCAUGUUGUACAUUUCUUUUGUCCCUUUCAUUUCUCCUCACCCUAAUUAAGUUUCAGUUCAGCACAAGUUUCUCUUACUCCAUUAGACCUCCCUUGCCUUUCCUAAGUAGGCAAGUAGGCUCUUACAGAAUCCUUCAUCAAUUUGUAUAAUUACCUGCUUGAUUUUUCCAUAUGAGUGUAGAAGUAAAUGAAAUCUUACUGCCAGGAACAACAUUAAAAUGUCAUAACAAUGUCUGGAACUUUGCAUGAAAAAAGGAAAAGAAAUUGGUGGUGUGGAAUGGGCUAACCCUGGGUAAAAUCAGUUUGGGGAAAAGAAGGGAUGAUUAGAGAAGCUGACGGAUGGGCUACCUGGAGGUAUGCCAUAUAACCUAUUUAUCAAGGAAAUGCUUCCCGAUAGCUGAAUUUCAGUGGCCCUGCCAGCUUUUCAUGAUUUAUUUCAAAAUCUAACUCUGAAUACAUCCUUGAAAUCUCUUGAAAGGACAUCAUUCAGGAGUACUGUUUUGUCAUUGAUGCAUGUCGUCCUUUACAUGCCACUGUUUUGUGACCAGCUCUCCUGCAAAAAAAUUUUUUUGGAAGGGGGCCACACCCUGAUGUGCUCAAGGGUGCACACCCUGGCUCCUCACUCAGGUAUUAGUCCUGGCAUGGUUUGGGGGACCAUAUUGGGUGCUGUGGGUCAGCCAUACGCAAGGCAAGUGCCCUAUCCACUAUUCUCUGUAACCCCAAUCUGCAUUAGUUUCCAUUUGGGCCCUAAAUGUUCUGUGCUUGAGAACUACUUUUGACUGGAUGCUGGGUAUGUGCUCUGGGAAAGGACGCACGUCAGGCGUUUAACCCAAGGCAUCACAUAUGCAGGACAAGUAUUCAACCACCGAACCACUUCCCUGGCUUACCUUAGUUAAAAUUUUACACCUAUAGGCCUGUUUUCUUUAAGCAAACAAAUUGGAUAAAUGCUACCCUAAUCAGUUGGGACAUUGCCAGCACCCCAUAGCCUUCAUGAUGACUGCAUACUAAGUAGGUAACCAUUACUCUGACUUUCAUAACAAGUGCUGCUUAAACUGUAGAUAAAGUAAUAAUGAGAAGUUUGGCUUUCCCCUAAGGAAGAUAUUAAAAAGAAAAUAGUUUGGAGAGAGUUAUUUGGGAGUGAUUACUAGGUUCUAGAGGUAUUCAAGUAUGGCUGCAGUUUGGGAUAAUACUGGUAUGAACAGUCUUGUGUUUUGAGAGUGCAUGUACAGAUGCUUUUCUAAUGUGGGUAUACUUUUGUAUUCUCACUAGCCGUAAAUGAAAGUUUCAUUUGCUCAUUCUUGCUAACUAACUUUAAUUUUAGAUGUUUUAACAGGUGUGUAGUGGCACCUAUUAAAUCACGGUUUGCUUCUUGGUAAACUUCUUUUAAUUUAAACUUUGAUAUAGAAAUGUGUGUAAAUCAUGUGUACCACUUUUCAUACUAUAAACACAAACAGCAAGAAAUUAAGAAUUGAGAAAUCACCAGCAAUACUGAAGCGCCAUAUAUCCAUACUCUCGUACCAUUAAUCAGUAUAUCAUCUUUGCAAGGGCAUCCGUUGACCUUUUUCUUUGGCUCCUAAAUUUCAAAUAAAUGAAAGUACAUUUAGUCUGUGAGGUCUUUGAUUUAGCAAUGUGUACAACUCAUCUGUUACUGCUUGUAGAUUGCUCAUGCAUACUGUUGUAUAUAAAUAAGUUGCAGUUAAUCCAUUCUGUGAGUAGCCAUUUGAAAUGUUUUCAGUUUUGACAUGAAUAAAGCUGCUAUGCAUCAUU